RNAcentral lists this long non-coding RNA (217 nucleotides) under Vitis vinifera (wine grape). RNAcentral's name for it is "long non-coding RNA (VVIN_LNC006694)". Lineage: Eukaryota; Viridiplantae; Streptophyta; Magnoliopsida; Vitales; Vitaceae. The record is from RNAcentral.
CACUGCUGGAGAGUUCAAUAACCUUAUGGUAAGCCAAGCAAUCCAUCUCAAUUCACAAGGAUCAAGCUUACCAAAGCCUAACUGAAAGAAAUCCUUGAUGCAGUGUCAAGUCCCUACGUUUUGAUUAGAUUAAUGUACAACUAACAUCUCAUGUAGUAGGUUUCGGGCUGGAGGAAUUUCCCGAAUCACUGGAAUCCAUCUGGGUGACUAAACCAGA